This 1570-nucleotide unclassified non-coding RNA is filed under the name Hevea brasiliensis (rubber tree). The record is from RNAcentral. Lineage: Eukaryota; Viridiplantae; Streptophyta; Magnoliopsida; Malpighiales; Euphorbiaceae.
AAAAAAAAAAAAAAAACCAAGCACAACCCUUUCUUUUCUUUUAUAUCCUCAGAAACUGUACGGUCCUUCUAUGGAUGUUGGCGUCUUCUCGAAGAGGAAAAUUCCCAGGAAAAUGGAUCUUCAUCAAACACCUUGCUCUGUCGUCGUUUCUCCUCAAAAAGCUUACAAGAAUAAGCAGAAGAAGAAGAAAGGGGGUGAUCUCGAGGAUCAUGGCACCCAGAACGAAGCGAAUAAACGGUACGCUUUUAUGUCGUUUUGGGAGUUGCCGGAGUACAUGAAGGAUAAUGAGUUUAUAUUGAGUUAUUACCGAGUCAGUUGGCCUCUUAAGGAAGCUCUUUUUAGCAUUUUUCGUUGGCAUAAUGAAACGCUUAAUGUCUGGACACAUCUGAUCGGCUUUUUACUGUUUUUGGGGUUGACCAUUGCGAAUGUAAUGCAAGUUCCUCAGGUAGCGGAUCUUCUCGGCCUGUUUACCAGGUCAAUUCUUACUAUUGCAGAGACAAAUGUUUCCCUUAAUUCAAAGGAAUUCUUUUUGGGAACUACAGAACUCUUAGAUUUGAAGCAGAUAACAUCUCCAAAAAUUGAUAUAACACCGCCAGGAACGGCGGUCAGCCGGUGGCCAUUCUAUGUAUUCUUGGGUGGUUCUAUGUUCUGCCUCCUCUCAAGCAGCAUCUGCCAUCUCUUUUCUUGCCAUUCACGCCAUUUAAACAUUUUCUUGCUACGUAUAGAUUAUGUGGGUAUCACUGCAAUGAUCAUCACCUCAUUUUUCCCUCCAAUCUAUUACAUUUUCCAGUGUGUCUCACAUUGGCAAUACAUAUACCUUGGUGGAAUCACAGCAAUGGGGAUGUUCACCAUCGUAACGCUGCUUUCUCCGAUGCUUUCGACCAGUAAAUUUCGAGCUUUUCGAGCUCUUCUCUUCUCUUCAAUGGGGCUCUUUGGCAUCAUCCCUGCAGUACAUGGUACAAUUGUGAAUUGGACUAAUCCCAAACGCAAUACCAUACUAGUUUAUGAAUCUUUCAUGGCUAUAUUUUACUUGACUGGUACUGGGUUUUACGUUAGCCGGAUUCCGGAGAGGUUGAAGCCUGGAUGGUUUGAUCUAGCAGGACAUAGCCAUCAGAUUUUCCAUGUUUUUGUGGUAUUGGGAGCAUUGGCUCAUUAUGGUGCUACACUUGCAUUCUUGGACUAUCGGGACCGCGUGGGUUGCUAAGAAAAUCAAAUCUAUAUACACCAAGGCCUUUUAUGUAUUGUUAUGGGUUAAAUUUAUCUACAUCUGAUGUAUUCAAGACGCAAAUAUGUGAGUCUCACCUAUUUUAUAUGUGAGUCUCACUAUACAUAUUAUAUCUUAAAUUUAAUAUAGAUCAGAUAGGCAAGAAUUUCCAUGUUGCGAUGUAUAAGGUGAUUUAGAGUUUUCGUUACUUUCAAUUUUUGAUUCAUUGUAAUUGCUGUACUAAGAAAGGAAGGAAUUGUUGGUAUGAUUAAGUUCCUUCGUAACUAAGUACAUCAAUGUUAGAUGUUAAUUAAUGUCCUGUAAUUGUAUUAUCAAAAUUUGAAACACAUGCAUGAAGGAUUUGAA